RNAcentral lists this ribosomal RNA (253 nucleotides) under uncultured bacterium. Its description in RNAcentral is "partial 16S ribosomal RNA". It matches the Rfam family "Bacterial small subunit ribosomal RNA", at positions 524 to 776 of the family's 1533-position model. The record is from RNAcentral.
UACAGAGGGGGCAAGCGUUAUUCGGAAUUAUUGGGCGUAAAGGGCGCGUAGGCGGCUUUGCAAGUGGCGGGUGAAAUCCCUCGGCUCAACCGAGGAACUGCGUCUGAUACUGGAAGGCUUGAAUCCGGGAGAGGGAUGUGGAAUUCCAGGUGUAGCGGUGAAAUGCGUAGAUAUCUGGAGGAACACCGGUGGCGAAGGCGGCAUCCUGGACCGGUAUUGACGCUGAGGCGCGAAAGCUAGGGGAGCAAACGGG